This 1373-nucleotide ribosomal RNA is filed under the name uncultured Gammaproteobacteria bacterium. RNAcentral's name for it is "partial 16S ribosomal RNA". It matches the Rfam family "Bacterial small subunit ribosomal RNA", at positions 29 to 1393 of the family's 1533-position model. The record is from RNAcentral. Lineage: Bacteria; Pseudomonadati; Pseudomonadota; Gammaproteobacteria.
UUGAACGCUGGCGGUAUGCUUAACACAUGCAAGUCGAACGGAAACGAUACUAGCUUGCUAGUAGGCGUCGAGUGGCGGACGGGUGAGUAACGCGUAGGAAUCUGCCUGAUAGUGGGGGAUAGCCCGAAGAAAUUCGGAUUAAUACCGCAUAAUCUAUUCGUAGUAAAGUGGGGGACUUUCGAGCCUCACGCUAUCAGAUGAGCCUGCGUAAGAUUAGCUAGUUGGUAGGGUAAAAGCCUACCAAGGCUACGAUCUUUAGCUGGUCUGAGAGGAUGAUCAGCCACAUCGGGACUGAGACACGGCCCGAACUCCUACGGGAGGCAGCAGUGGGGAAUAUUGGACAAUGGGGGCAACCCUGAUCCAGCAAUACCGCGUGUGUGAAGAAGGCCUGAGGGUUGUAAAGCACUUUCAAUUGUGAAGAAAAGUUAACGGUUAAUAACCGUUAGCCUUGACGUUAACUUUAGAAGAAGCACCGGCUAACUCCGUGCCAGCAGCCGCGGUAAUACGGAGGGUGCAAGCGUUAAUCGGAAUUACUGGGCGUAAAGCGUGCGUAGGCGGUUUAUUAAGUCAGAUGUGAAAGCCCCGGGCUUAACCUGGGAACUGCAUUUGAAACUGGUCAACUAGAGUAUGGUAGAGGAAAGUGGAAUUUCUGGUGUAGCGGUGAAAUGCGUAGAUAUCAGAAGGAACAUCAAUGGCGAAGGCAGCUUUCUGGACCAAUACUGACGCUGAGGUACGAAAGCGUGGGUAGCAAACAGGAUUAGAUACCCUGGUAGUCCACGCCGUAAACGAUGAUAACUAGCCGUUGGGGGGAUUUACCCUUUAGUGGCGAAGCUAACGCGUUAAGUUAUCCGCCUGGGGAGUACGGCCGCAAGGUUAAAACUCAAAGGAAUUGACGGGGACCCGCACAAGCGGUGGAGCAUGUGGUUUAAUUCGAUGCAACGCGAAGAACCUUACCUGGUCUUGACAUCCUGCGAACUUUCUAGAAAUAGAUUGGUGCCUUCGGGAACGCAGUGACAGGUGCUGCAUGGCUGUCGUCAGCUCGUGUCGUGAGAUGUUGGGUUAAGUCCCGUAACGAGCGCAACCCCUAUCCUUAUUUGCCAGCACAUAAUGGUGGGGACUCUAAGGAGACUGCCCGGGAUAACCGGGAGGAAGGUGGGGAUGAUGUCAAGUCAGUAUGUCCCUUAUGUCCAGGGCUACACACGUGUUACAAUGGCCGGUACAAUGGGCUGCAAACUCGCGAGAGUAAGCCAAUCCCAAAAAACCGGCCCCAGUUCAGAUUGGAGUCUGCAACUCGACUCCAUGAAGUAGGAAUCGCUAGUAAUCGCGGAUCAGCACGCCGCGGUGAAUACGUUCCCGGGUCUUGUACACACCGC